UGCCAGCAGCCGCGGUAAUACGUAGGGAGCGAGCGUUAUCCGGAAUUAUUGGGCGUAAAGCGUGCGUAGGCGGUUUAUUAAGUCUGAUGUGAAAUCCCCCGGCUCAACCGGGGAGGGUCAUUGGAAACUGGUAAACUUGAGUACAGUAGAGGCAAGUGGAAUUCCAUGUGUAGCGGUAAAAUGCGUAGAUAUAUGGAGGAACACCAGUGGCGAAGGCGGCUUGCUGGGCUGGAACUGACGCUGAGGCACGAAAGCGUGGGGAGCAAACAGGAUUAGAUA
This 279-nucleotide ribosomal RNA is filed under the name uncultured bacterium. RNAcentral describes it as "partial 16S ribosomal RNA". It matches the Rfam family "Bacterial small subunit ribosomal RNA", at positions 506 to 784 of the family's 1533-position model. The record is from RNAcentral.